AUACGGAGGGUGCAAGCGUUGUUCGGAAUCACUGGGCGUAAAGGGCGCGCAGGCGGUUUUACAAGUCAGACGUGAAAGCCCACGGCUCAACCGUGGAAGUGCAUUUGAAACUGUAAGACUUGAGUAUCAGAGGGGAAGGUGGAAUUCCCGGUGUAGAGGUGAAAUUCGUAGAUAUCGGGAGGAAUACCGGUGGCGAAGGCGAAUUUCUGGCUGAAUACUGACGCUGAGGCGCGAAAGCGUGGGGAGCAAACAGGAUUAGAAACCCUUGUAGUCC
RNAcentral lists this ribosomal RNA (274 nucleotides) under uncultured bacterium. RNAcentral's name for it is "partial 16S ribosomal RNA". It matches the Rfam family "Bacterial small subunit ribosomal RNA", at positions 523 to 796 of the family's 1533-position model. The record is from RNAcentral.